Molecule: long non-coding RNA, 254 nt
Organism: Peromyscus maniculatus bairdii (prairie deer mouse)
Lineage: Eukaryota; Metazoa; Chordata; Mammalia; Rodentia; Cricetidae
Source: RefSeq, a predicted model, not a curated record
UCUCUCGGGGAAGCUAGGAGCACUGCAGGAGGUGGCAGCAGAGAACUCCAGUGUGUGGUCAAACCCUGCACUCCAGCCUCGCUCUCAAAAGCAGGAGCUGACUUGAUCAGAGCUCUGAUGUUUAACCGUCUAUGGUCUCAGUCACCAGUGGUCAACGGAUGUCUGCAAAUAUUCCUCAAGAGGGACGGCAUUUGCAGAACUCUCAGUGCACACUUGGAAUUGGUCUAUUAUUAUUAAACUCUUACUGUACCUCA